RNAcentral lists this ribosomal RNA (185 nucleotides) under Teratosphaeria multiseptata. RNAcentral's name for it is "5.8S ribosomal RNA". The stretch from base 1 to 151 matches the Rfam family "5.8S ribosomal RNA". From Rfam's summary of the family: 5.8S ribosomal RNA (5.8S rRNA) is a component of the large subunit of the eukaryotic ribosome. Lineage: Eukaryota; Fungi; Ascomycota; Dothideomycetes; Mycosphaerellales; Teratosphaeriaceae. The record is from RNAcentral.
UUUCAACAACGGAUCUCUUGGUUCUGGCAUCGAUGAAGAACGCAGCGAAAUGCGAUAAGUAAUGUGAAUUGCAGAAUUCAGUGAAUCAUCGAAUCUUUGAACGCACAUUGCGCCCUCUGGUAUUCCGGAGGGCAUGCCUGUUCGAGCGUCAUUACACCACUCCAGCCUCGCUGGGUAUUGGGUGC